GGUCUAUGAUGUCAGACCAAUGUCACGGAUAAAAGGUGAUGACAUAAAAAUCAUGUUCAAUAUGAUUACGGUAAAUGCC
Small nucleolar RNA from Mesocricetus auratus (golden hamster), 79 nucleotides. Its record names the gene SNORD115. It matches the Rfam family "Small nucleolar RNA SNORD115". From Rfam's summary of the family: HBII-52 is a member of the C/D class of snoRNAs, which contain the C (UGAUGA) and D (CUGA) box motifs. HBII-52 is encoded in a tandemly repeated array with another C/D snoRNA, HBII-85, in the Prader-Willi syndrome (PWS) region of chromosome 15. HBII-52 is exclusively expressed in the brain but is absent in PWS patients. Lineage: Eukaryota; Metazoa; Chordata; Mammalia; Rodentia; Cricetidae. The record is from Ensembl.